This 453-nucleotide ribosomal RNA is filed under the name uncultured bacterium. Its description in RNAcentral is "bacterial SSU rRNA". It matches the Rfam family "Bacterial small subunit ribosomal RNA", at positions 340 to 786 of the family's 1533-position model. The record is from RNAcentral.
UACGGGAGGCAGCGGUGGGGAAUAUUGCACAAUGGGCGCAAGCCUGAUGCAGCCAUGCCGCGUGUAUGAAGAAGGCCUUCGGGUUGUAAAGUACUUUCAGUCGUGAGGAAGGUGUUAAGGUUAAUAACCUUAGCAAUUGACGUUAGCGACAGAAGAAGCACCGGCUAACUCCGUGCCAGCAGCCGCGGUAAUACGGAGGGUGCGAGCGUUAAUCGGAAUUACUGGGCGUAAAGGGCACGCAGGCGGUUAAUAAGUUGGAUGUGAAAUCCCCGGGCUUAACCUGGGAAUGGCAUUCAAGACUGGUUAGCUAGAGUCUUGUAGAGGGGGGUAGAAUUCCAUGUGUAGCGGUGAAAUGCGUAGAGAUGUGGAGGAAUACCGGUGGCGAAGGCGGCCCCUGGACAAAGACUGACGCUCAUGUGCGAAAGCGUGGGGAGCAAACAGGGAUUAGAUACC